GGCCAGACUCCUACGGGAGGCAGCAGUGGGGAAUAUUGGGCAAUGGGCACAAGCCUGACCCAGCAACGCCGCGUGAAGGAAGAAGGCUUUCGGGUUGUAAACUUCUUUUGUCAGGGACGAAGCAAGUGACGGUACCUGACGAAUAAGCCACGGCUAACUCCGUGCCAGCAGCCGCGGUAAUACGGAGGAUGCGAGCGUUAUCCGGAUUUAUUGGGUUUAAAGGGUGCGUAGGCGGGUUAUCAAGUCAGCGGUAAAAUCGUGGGGCUCAACUCCAUCCAGCCGUUGAAACUGAUGAUCUUGAGUGGGCGAGAAGUAUGCGGAAUGCGUGGUGUAGCGGUGAAAUGCAUAGAUAUCACGCAGAACUCCGAUUGCGAAGGCAGCAUGCCGGCGCCCGACUGGCGCUGAAGCACGAAAGCGUGGGUAUCGAACAGGAUUAGAUACCCCUGUA
Molecule: ribosomal RNA, 448 nt
Filed under: uncultured bacterium
Lineage: Bacteria
Description: bacterial SSU rRNA
Rfam family: Bacterial small subunit ribosomal RNA
Source: RNAcentral